This 582-nucleotide ribosomal RNA is filed under the name Rhodotorula mucilaginosa. RNAcentral describes it as "eukaryotic LSU rRNA". It matches the Rfam family "Eukaryotic large subunit ribosomal RNA", at positions 73 to 664 of the family's 3401-position model. Lineage: Eukaryota; Fungi; Basidiomycota; Microbotryomycetes; Sporidiobolales; Sporidiobolaceae. The record is from RNAcentral.
UCCCCUUUAGCUAGCGCGCGAGCGAAGCGGGAAGAGCUCAAAUUUAUAAUCUGGCACCUUCGGUGUCCGAGUUGUAAUCUCUAGAAAUGUUUUCCGCGUUGGACCGCACACAAGUCUGUUGGAAUACAGCGGCAUAGUGGUGAGACCCCCGUAUAUGGUGCGGACGCCCAGCGCUUUGUGAUACAUUUUCGAAGAGUCGAGUUGUUUGGGAAUGCAGCUCAAAUUGGGUGGUAAAUUCCAUCUAAAGCUAAAUAUUGGCGAGAGACCGAUAGCGAACAAGUACCGUGAGGGAAAGAUGAAAAGCACUUUGGAAAGAGAGUUAACAGUACGUGAAAUUGUUGGAAGGGAAACGCUUGAAGUCAGACUUGCUUGCCGAGCAAUCGGUUUGCAGGCCAGCAUCAGUUUUCCGGGAUGGAUAAUGGUAGAGAGAAGGUAGCAGUUUCGGCUGUGUUAUAGCUCUCUGCUGGAUACAUCUUGGGGGACUGAGGAACGCAGUGUGCCUUUGGCGGGGGUUUCGACCUCUUCACACUUAGGAUGCUGGUGGAAUGGCUUUAAACGACCCGUCUUGAACACCGGACACAA